RNAcentral lists this ribosomal RNA (283 nucleotides) under uncultured Mycobacterium sp. RNAcentral describes it as "partial 16S ribosomal RNA". It matches the Rfam family "Bacterial small subunit ribosomal RNA", at positions 8 to 293 of the family's 1533-position model. The record is from RNAcentral. Lineage: Bacteria; Bacillati; Actinomycetota; Actinomycetes; Mycobacteriales; Mycobacteriaceae.
AGAGUUUGAUCCUGGCUCAGGACGAACGCUGGCGGCGUGCUUAACACAUGCAAGUCGAACGGAAAGGCCUCUUCGGAGGUACUCGAGUGGCGAACGGGUGAGUAACACGUGGGCAAUCUGCCCUGCACUUCGGGAUAAGCCUGGGAAACUGGGUCUAAUACCGGAUAGGACCUCAAGACGCAUGUCUUCUGGUGGAAAGCUUUUGCGGUGUGGGAUGGGCCCGCGGCCUAUCAGCUUGUUGGUGGGGUGACGGCCUACCAAGGCGACGACGGGUAGCCGGCCU